GAUGAACGCUGGCGGCGUGCCUAAUACAUGCAAGUCGAGCGAACGGACGUGAGGUUUCCUUCUCUGUUGUUAGCCGCAGACGGGUGAGUAACACGUGGAUAACCUACUUCUAACUCUGGUAUAACUUCGGGAAACGGUCUCUAAUACCGUAUAAUCUUUUUAACGGCUUGUUUCAAGAAUGAUAUUUGGUCUUACUAUCACCUAUCGGCGGAUCCGCUUUGCGGUAGCUAGUUGGUCUGGUAACGGCUUACCAAGGCAACGAUGCAUAACCGACCUGAGCGGGUGAUCGGCCACACUGGAACUGAGAGACGGUCCAGAGUCCUACGGGAGGCAGCAGUAGCGACGCUUCCGCAAUGGGCGAAAGCCUGACGGAGCAGCGCCGCGUGAGUGGUGAAGGUCUUCGGAUCGUAAGACGCUGUUAUGAGGGAAGAACACAUGUGUAAGUAACUGUGCACAUCUUGACGGUACCUGAAUAAGAAGCCACGGCUAACUACGUG
RNAcentral lists this ribosomal RNA (497 nucleotides) under uncultured bacterium. RNAcentral's name for it is "partial 16S ribosomal RNA". It matches the Rfam family "Bacterial small subunit ribosomal RNA", at positions 28 to 507 of the family's 1533-position model. The record is from RNAcentral.